This 313-nucleotide long non-coding RNA is filed under the name Brassica napus (rape). Its description in RNAcentral is "long non-coding RNA (BNAP_LNC008193)". The record is from RNAcentral. Lineage: Eukaryota; Viridiplantae; Streptophyta; Magnoliopsida; Brassicales; Brassicaceae.
UCAACUUCAGCUCCUUUGGUUUUUUCAUCUCUGAGGCCGAGACCAGCAGCCAAGAACACCAUAGGUAAGCUUAUUCAGCCUCAUCCACCGCGCUAAGUUACCAUUGAUGAAGUCGAGACCACCACUGUUGACGCCGAGAUCACCAUUGUUGACGCCGAGACCACGAUCAUCAAGCUUCUUCAGCCUACUCCGCCUUUUUUACUAAGAACAGAAAAACAAAACCGGAAUUAGAACACGGAGAGUGAGAGAGAGACGAAGCCGGAGACACCGCUCUGUAACACCACUUCUUCUCCUUCCCGGUUCCUUCUUUGAU